Molecule: long non-coding RNA, 9265 nt
Organism: Nothobranchius furzeri (turquoise killifish)
Lineage: Eukaryota; Metazoa; Chordata; Actinopteri; Cyprinodontiformes; Nothobranchiidae
Source: RefSeq, a predicted model, not a curated record
CUGGAAUCAACAUAUUUAUGGUUAUUUUUCGAUCACCUCGUAAUUUAGUAAAUGUUUUCAUCAUGUUUGUAGGAGAAAUGUGUUUUGUUAGUUGAAUAUAUUUGCUUUUACAUAAACAUAGAAGAAAAAGAAAAGUUGGGCCAUAAUUUGUACUAAAAAUACAAAUCAGUGCUAAUUCAAAAGCAUUAAAAAUUUGGAUAAAUGUUGCAGAUCUCAUUAGAUUUUUAGAAUCUCUUCUAUUGGAACUUUUAAUUAAUUUUAAUUGCAUUUAAAAUAUGGCCAACUAGGGAAUGGCCAACAUACCAAGCCAAAAUCUACAUUUUUGAAUACAUCAUUAGCAGAUAAACCUCUUUAGAGAGCCGAUUUAAAGUCAGGCACAUCCAUGGGCAGCCCAGUGCUGCUGUUGUUCCUGGAAAACGUCUGCUUAAUAAAUGCUCUAAAACAUAGUUUCCAGCUGAAAUGGCUUUUUAAUUUUUUCCUGCUUAUAUUUGCUACUUGGUCCGUUUACAGAUUUGUUUGAUUAACUUUGAAUAAAUGUUUGAUUUUAUUAUUGAUCAGAAAAAUAACUCAGAGUUCAGAGACUGGAUAGGUUCAAAAAUGUUGUGGUGAAGAAAUGGUCUAGAAACUGAGCGUAAAAAUUGCCCCAAAAGGUCAGCAUCGGUAUCGGCAAUGAACAACCCCACAUCGGUGGAUCUGUAUGACUAACGGUAACCAUGGUGAUAAACUGAGACGCUCUAGGUAACAGAAACAGCUUUCUGUUUACCUCUCAGUCACAGGAGUAAAUGUCAGAAUCUAGCACCAGACUUUUAAAACAGCGUUUUGUCCUCUGAUGAGGAUUAUUUCUAACUUCUCCAUCUAGUCAUCAGGGGGACUUGCAGUUUCACGCCCAUUCCCUCUCUUCCCUCUCCUGCAGCCAUUGGCCGAGGGGGACGGAGUCAUGGAGGAGUUAUUUGUGGGUGGGGUGGCUGCAGGAGAGUUUGUAGAGUUCUCUUACAAGUUGUGUUACAGCUGACCCUGUCCUCAACUUUGACCCCUGACCCCUACAGAGAUCUGUCAUGAGAGGGAGCUGCUUAACACAAAAUGGAGCCUGGUUCAAGAGUCAGAGCGCGCGCGAGAGAGAGAGCCAGGCGGAGAGGGCUUUACCACUCACAGUGGACUCAUUUAUCCUCUCCAUCGCCUCUCUGGGAUUUUUCCACUCCUCUCCUUUGCUUUCUCUUUUGUUUUUGCUGCAGGAACUCUGUUGCUCUUUAUUUCCUGUACAUCCCUUCUCCUUCCUCCUGUUUGUCCUCCCCUCCCCUCAUCUUCUCGCCGUGUUCUGGUUGACUUUUGGAACAACAGCAUGCCGUCACCACCACAGGCAGGGACUCAUGGCGGCAGGAAGCAGCAGGAUUCUGGGAGGGAAUUUGGAGGGACGAUCCUUUAAUGAGAGCGAGGCCUCAUCAGCUGGAGAAAUGUAUGCUAAUGAUAUGCACACACCAAAAGGAGCCUGGGUAGGCAAGGCAGGCGCUGGCCGAGCUCCCGCUGGGCUCUGAGGAGGAUGAGCGGCUCAGGUCAGAAGAAUGGCAACACAAACACCUCCUCCUCCUCCUCCUUUCUGUUUCUUCUUUCUUCUGCUUCACCCUGCGUCCAUGAGGGCAGAGACAAAAGAAACAUGGUUAACACGGAUCUGGGAUCAAGCUUUAAAAGUUACUUUUAGUUGUUUUUCUAGUGUAAAGAAAAUAGAUGAAGAUAUUUUUAAUAAUUAAGUUAAAAUUAGAGACAUUUGGCUUUAAUUUGAGAUUAAAUUCAUGCCUAAUAUUAAUAACAUUAAUUGUAUUUUACACAUCAUAAUCAGCGUUUAUUAUGGCUGUCCUAUUAAAGGCUAACACAUGACAAGAAUUUAAAUAGGAAAAUAACGUAAAUAAUUUGUGCAAAACAGAAAAAAUUUCUUUUAAUUACUUGAUUAUAUUUUUGUCGGAUUUAUUUCUUUUAAAUGUAUCUGAAAAUCUGUUUUUCUUCAGUGUUGCUGUUUGUUUAUAUAUGAUCUAAUAAACCAAUUGUUCUUCAUAUUUUAGUUAAUGACAAAAAUAGUAAAAUAUUAUAAAAAAACUAUUUUAAAACCAUUUUAAUAGGAAAUGAUUUAUGCAAAGCUAAAAUAAAUAAAUAAAUAAAUAAAUAAAUAAAUAAAUAAACGGGAAACUGGUUCUGUGACUUGAAGUCGAACUAACAACUGAAGUCUUCUGGGUUUAUUUGCGCCAUCAGUUUCAUUCUCCUCCGCUCGGAGCUCCUGUCUCAGAUCUGUCGGUCGCUGCAACGACGGACUUUAAAAAAUCACAAGUGAAAAUAAAAAAAAAGCUAAACAUAAAUUAAGGAUGCAGCACCAGGAUGUUGGUGGCGGAGAUCGUUAAAUAUAAAAGAACCCCGUUAUUUUUAUGUAUUUGUGAUUUUUGCCUCCGUCGCCAGAGGAAACGGGAGCAGAGGAGCCAGAGCCUUCGGAGAGAAAAGGAGAGUGGCACCUGAUGAUGUCGACUCUGACACGUGUUAAUUGCUGCUCAGCUCUCCUCAUCAGGGAGGCGCAAAUUAUUUUAGCGCUCCGGGCCACAAUGCGCCUUGUUUGCGUCGGCUGAGGCGCAGCGAGCUGGUCCUGUCCCCAAAUACAAACCAAACAAAGGUUUUAAUGAAUAUUAGCUACUAUCAACAGAAUUUUACUUAUUCAAAUCGGAAAACAAAAAUAUCACAAAUAAAUUCAACAUUUGUGUUUAUUUUUCUCUGGAAAAAAUAAGAUCAGAAGAACAAAUUAAGGAUAUUAAAAUUGUUCCUUCAUUUGUCCGAUUUUAUUCCAAAAUAAAAUUCUAAGCAUUAAUUUAUUUUUGCUUAUUUUUAACAUUGAACACAAUUUAAAUUCCUGUUGUUUUAAACAUUAAAAACACAAUGAAAGAAACUAUCUACAAGAAAUAAUAUUUUCAUACGAAUUUUGUUCUUUAUUAAUCAAGCUGACUUAAUUUAAAUACAUUGCCCCUAAAUGAACACAACAGACACCAUUAUUUAUUUAAAUGCUUAUUUCUGUUUUAUUCUCAAUUAUCAGCUCUGUGAUCAGCCUCUGGUCUGUGGAUUACAUGGGGCCUGUUAGAUUAGACGGCCUUGGCAUGGUGGAUUAUAAAGUCAUUGUUAUUGUCCAGCAGCCUCUAGGUUGGCGACUUGUUUAUGACACCAGUAAUGCCAGUAAUUGUUAUUGCUGAGAUUACCUGUCAAGAGGACCAGGACAGGGGGCUUAGAGAAGGCGUUGCUCCCUUGACGAGGGGUGACGGGGGGACGGGAAGGAGGACAGGGUGAUGGGGGAAAGAGAGAUAGGGGAAUGGUGGCAGAAGGGGAGGCUGAUGACUUCUCCGCUGAUAAUCAGCCACCGCAGCCUCUGGGAUAAUUCAGCUGUCAAUGCCACCUAGCAGGGCCCAGCAUCAGGCAGCCGACCCCAGCUGGUGCCUUUCACUCAAGUGGAGGGAGGGGUGGAGGGAUGCAGGAGCAGAAGAUGGAGUGAGGACAGCGUCUUCAUCUCAUGUCAGAGUUUAAACGCUUUAAAUGAAAGCCGCCAUGCAACAUUUCAUAGAUGAGAAGAGCAUCAUCCUUCAGGUGACGCCUCCAAUUCAUGGAAUCUUCAUGAUCUGCUGCAAGUUUGAUCUUCAUUUAUUUCACUGGAAUAAUGACAAAAAAGCUUUACUUGUGAUCAUUCUCAGAUUAUCGUGUGGAUAAUAAGUGUUCCUAAUGAUAUUAGUUCAGCCCUUAAAGGGGUUCUGACUGAGAAACUGUUGUUUCUAAAGAUGAUGCUGAUGAUAAUGAGUCACAUUUAAGCACUGUUUCCACACCUGUGUAGGUUGUUGCUCAGGUGUGAACCCAGAACUCCCCAUAAGGUGUGGAAGAAGGAAACUCCCCAGAUCCAGGAUAUAUUUUCAUUAAAAUCACACCAGAUAAGCAUGUUGCAGCACUUCCCAUUAACGGUCUUGGUUCCAAAGAGGUGAAUCGCUGCUGCACCUGUCAAGAAUAACGCUUAAACGUGAAACUGCUUAAGCAGAGACCUCCUGUGAUGAAGGAGGAACGUGAGUGCCUUUGUUUGUUUUUUGUAAAUUUGUCUUAUUAAUUUUCAUCUCGUCUGAAUGUCUUUGUUUUUACUGCUUAUCUGUCUUAUUGUCACGGGCCAUGAAUCAAAAAGCAAUUACUUCAUAUCUAACUUUGCAUCUUCUCACGUUUAUUGCUGCAGUUUAAUCUUUCAUCUGGUCGACACAACGGAACAUCAUCAUCACGAUCGCCAUCGCCGUAACAACUUUACCAAGAAAAUUAUAUUAACACAGCCCCCCACCCCACCGCCCCACUUUCAUAUUAAAAUAAAGCACAAUCUCAUUUCUCGUGCAGAUGAUGGCAUCAGGCACAAAUGCAUUUAUCAGCAGACAGCACAGAAGUCAGGUUAUAAACAAUAUCAUUCAUUAUCCGGCCCAGAUGCAGCGAUUGUUGAUUAAAGGGUUUUGAAUAUAACAGCCGCACACACACACACACACACACACACACACACACACACACACACACACACACACACACACACACACAGAUGGGUGGACAUUAGGAAAGAGGAGAGGCCAUCUGAAUAGGCUGGAGGGACAUUAACGGCAACAAUGAUUGAUUUUUUCCACGCAGGCUUUUUAAUGGUAUUGUUAUUCUUCAGAGUUAUACCCCGUCCUCCCCACAACUCGACUCACAGAUAAAUGGAGGUGUAAUAAUGAAUAGAAAUUAUCCUGAUUAUUUUGGUGGAGGUGCAGGAGAGCAAGUGAGGUGUGAGUCACAAUCCAGCACCGAGCUUGAAGCCUCGUCAACAAGAUCUUUGGCAUUCACUUUGAUGUUUUAUAGACGUGCUUAAGGGGUAACAAAGAAUAAUAUACAGGCUUUUUCCAAAAAUGUAUUCAUAAUAAAAUGCUAAACAUAAUUUGUGAGGAUAUUAUGCAUUUUUGUAAAAUAAUACAUUCUGUUGUAAAGGUUUGAUCUGAACCGUCGUGCUAAGAGCCUUAAAACGUAAUUAUAAUAAGAAAUCUCACAAACUUGGUAAAAAUGUAUGCUAGCAACAUGUUUCUACAUGUUUUCCACUUUAUUUUAACACGUUUGACACAACUCAGAAUAUAUCGUCCAAAAAACACCUGGAUUCGUUUACUGACUUUUGGCUAAAAUAGCAUUAAAGGUGUGGUUCACCUGUUAAAUCAGUAUUUGCUCUAGUCUCUAGUAGGAAUGAAUGCCUUGUAAGUCGUAGUCUGGGGACACAAAGCUUCGAUGCACCACAAUCAGGAAAUAGAAGUGAGCCACAUCUCAGCUGCGCUUCAGACGAAUUUGGACAUCUUGUCUCUGAUUGGCUAACAGCAACAUGACUCUACCACUGACUCUGCUUGCUCUGCAAUGUUGAUGUUUUAUCUCCACAAGCCUGAAGAAGUCCUGCUGUGUGGUGGAGUUGCUAAUGCUAACUGUUAGCUUCUAGUAGCCAAGAUGUCCUCCGCUGUUUCCUGGAUGCUAAACCAACAACAGCCUUCUCCGUCGUGAGUCAGCAUGGGUGAGUUCGUGAACGUUAAAUGACAGCGUGACGUAGAUCUGUGACUUUCUGAGUUUCACCGUCUAUUUUGUAUCAGAUGCUAAUGCGGCAGAUAGAUGUAAGAGAUUAUUUUCAUGUUCAGCCUGCAUGAAACACUCAGAGGGACUGAUUAUAAUCAGAAAUAAUCAUUACAAAUAUUUUUCAGUGUUCAACGCCUUUAAUAGGGUGAAUAUGUGCAACAGUUGUAGUUUUCCUUCCUUACUUCUGAAGUAUGAUGAUAAUGGCUAAAGUUUAGAUCUUCUCCACCUUCGUUAUAUUGUCUAAAUGAGCUGCUUGUUUCAUUUUGCCGUAAACAUGAGAUGUAAAUAAAGCUAAAGUUCUUUUUAAAUCUCUUAACAAAAAGAGAAUUAGCUGUUCAUCAUAAUGCAAAUUAACUCUCUCUGUAAUAGUCGCUCCUUUAUCUUUAACUAUUGAGUCUUAUGUUCAGUAAAACUUAAAAAUGGUUUUAUUACUUUUUAUCUUGAACACAGAUAAAGUCACGUGACACCGGCUUCUGCAAGACGGUGCUCAACGGGCAAAGCGUAAAAUGAAAAACUUCCCGAUUUGUUUUAUAUUUUUACUACCUCAGAGCAUUUAUGAGCCACAAAAAUUAAUUAAAUUUACCCUAAAAUCAAGUUUUCUAAACACUUUAAUCUAUCUCUAAAUGUCAAAUAAAGAUCUUAACUUUGCUGUAAUUAGGAUCAAAUUAAAACACUGAUGUGGGAACAGAACUGAAACUCUCUCUUUAGAAUAUGUACUUUACUAACAAGUACCAUAAAAAGCAUGUGUUUUCUGCUUCACUGUAAAAACAAACUAACUAAAACACAACUUUGUCAUAAUAAUUACUUCUGUUGUCAUCCUUGCCCACUGAGUGGUGAUGGUGUGAACAGCUGAAGUGGACGUUUUCAAAAACACGUUGAUUUGAUGUGAGAAGCCAGAUUGUCCAAAGCAGUUGUGUUUAUGAGACUCUCCUCUGGCACCUGCUGCAGCGCUGUCCGCCUGCCAGCAUCACACACGCAGACACGCUCGCAGCCUCCUCAGCUCUCCUCUCCGUUUAGCCUCUCUCCACACAAAUGAUGGUCAUUAUCACUUCUCGAUUACAUCCACGGGCCUCAGCUGCUGUUCCUCUGCUGAAACACCAAAAAUAUGCAUUCAGCCACUGCAAACGUUUUAAAGCAUAACAUGCUGUAAAUACUGGAUGACGGUGCAUUUUUUCUUAUGUACUUUGCUGUCUUGUGUACCACCAUACCUCGGGUUUUACAGCAAAUGAAUAAAUCAUCUUUAUGCACACUAAAUCCAUAAAUGUGCUUCAUUAUUUUAGCUUUACUGAACCAUAAAAGAACUGAUCCUUUAACUGGAUCUAAUCAGAAACUUUUUUUUUCUUCAAAUUCCUUAAUUUCCAGCUUUUUCUUCUCCUCACUAGCACCAUUAUCACAUGGUCAAUGUUCCACCUAGUUCUCGCCUCUUCAUCCGUACCAACAUGUUGUGCAUCAUCCACUCCCUUCCUCUCCUGCAGCGAAAUGUUGUGAUGCCUUCCUCCAACAUCCUCCCCUCUCCACUCGCCACCCUUCUUCCACCCUCUCAGUAAUCAGGGCCAGAUGGAGGCAGAGAUGGAGUGAUGCAGGGAGGGAGGAUUGGGUUUGGUCCUAGCAGUGUCUCAGAACGUGGGGAGCUGUCAGCCCUGCAGGGAGAGAGGAAUUCUCCAGUAAUAAAACUGGGAUUUAUCACCACUCCGCCCAAGAGAAGGGAGACAUGGGUGAGGGUAUGAGGCAGAGGAACGGACAACGGAAUCGAGAAAGUCGGAUAAUAAAGGACGAUGUGGGAGAAUAGAACAGUCGUUUAAAUGAGAAACUUGCAGAAUUUUAAAGGGAGAGGAAAUGCGACUCUUCUACUAAAAUGUGUCAAACAGAUGAAAGGAGUAGAAGAAAGUUAAACCACAGUGGAUGCUGCUGGAAAGGUCCAAACUGAGAAGACAAAACAGAAAUUGCAGAAGACAGUUGCAUGAUGGCACCCACAGCAGCAGGCUGACAAAUUCUCUCCUGCCAUCUGUACAAGCGUGGAGAUCAGCGUCUGUCCUGAAUCUGAUGCCCGGUUGCGUUCAAGGGAUGUGAUGUCAAGCAAAAACGAGUCAACCUCCCCACUGGGCCAAAUGAACCUGCUAAAAUAACCGCUCCCCACAAUCGGCUGUGUAAUUGAAACCAGAAUGUGCAGGAUUUGAUGAAUUGUUUGACCCUGCAGGAAUGUUAAGGUCAUAAAUUUUUAGUGCGUUUUGGUGGUGCUGAGAUGUGCAGAGGUGCAUGUUAGGAACACCAAAGUGGGCCUGAAACUCAGAAAAAAAGAGCCGUGUGUGUUUUAAUAAUUCAAAACACAAAUGGUCCUCCGUAGUUCUGGGGUAGUGCCGAAACACGGGUCCAGUUACCCAAAUGGGUAUCAGCUUUUGGUGCAGUGAGGUUUACUCAGAUCAGUUUUCCUCUACAUAUGUUAAAUUUCACAACUGGAACAGGAACUGUGCACUGAUCAGUUAUAACAAUGACUGCAGUUACACGCACAAUGACUGACUUCUAAGUCGAUCUGCCGAUCUUAUUGUAAUGAGCUGGGAGUCUUUAUCCCAGUUUGCAUGUGCAUUAGAAAACUGGCCUCUCAGAUAAAGUUGGUUCCACUCCGGUACAGUAGAUGGCGCCACGCGUCUCUUCAUGUCGGCAUUCUUCUGGUUAGCUUAUAGCAACACAAGCAGUAAACAGAGGCUGGCGGGAGUGAAACAGGAUAUGCACAAUGGCUGAAGGAACGUACAACAACGCUGCAACACAGCUUAUUUGGUACGUACCGUCCUGUUUUAUGGUGUUACGCAUGUUGCUUUGCGACGAUGGUCUUCUCAGAAGACCGUUUCUGCGAUCUCGUCACUUCCGGAAUGCGAGCGUCUUACCGGUUUAGUUCGGCUGACCCAUUUACAACCAGAAUGCAUUUGGAUUGCUAUCGCUUUUUCUGGGUGCUUCAGCUCAAUUAGACUCAGUUUGCCUUCAGCCAGAUUAACAUGUUCAUAUGCAAUAAAAAAAACCGACGUGAGUCUUUUUAGGGCAAUACUUUGGUUUUCUGAUGCACAUGUAAACACACUGAUUGACUCAGUCCCCCGUCAACUAAGGAAUUAUGUUCUUCACCCCUUUCUCUUAGAAGAAAGCACAUCUGCAUGACUGCUGCCAAGGUACGUUUAUCAAAACGGUAAGAAUACACAGAGAAAUAAAACAGAUGCAGUAAAAGUAUCUGGCUCUGUUGUGAUGAAAACUAAUCACAUCCAAUCAUAUCUGGUUCUGAUGAGAAAUGUAAAACCACAAGUAUUAGGGUCUAGAAAAAUAAUAAAGUAUAAUAAAAACUAUCUUUGUGGUUGUCAAAAUCAAAUAAAAUAUCAUUUUGUUACAGCUUAGAAGUUAUAUUCAGCAUGCUGCCUACAUACAUAAAGUGUGAUGCAUCCUUCCAAUGGCUUGUUUUUGUUUCAUCGUUUUAUUCUAGGACUGACCAAACCUGUCAUUUCAUUACGAGACCAUUUCUGCUGCUCAGCUCAGGUUUAAAUUUUGUCUUCAAGGAAAAUAAAAUUAAACUUGUUUUACUCAGGAUUUCAAAACCUGCAAAGAUCUGGAAAUAAUUUAAAUCAAGAUAUAUGAACUUCUGUUUGUUAGUUUGGGGGGGGGGGGG